RNAcentral lists this small nuclear RNA (24 nucleotides) under Arabidopsis thaliana (thale cress). Its description in RNAcentral is "snRNA_15610". The record is from RNAcentral. Lineage: Eukaryota; Viridiplantae; Streptophyta; Magnoliopsida; Brassicales; Brassicaceae.
CUUCACAAAAUUCAUCGCGGAAAA